UGCCACUUGAAUUAUUGGGCAGGACUGCCAGGUUUUCAAAUUGAAAUCUAAAGUUGACGGAGGAAAAAGGAGCAGGCAAUAAAACUUGCUCAUGAGAAGAGACGAAAACACAAGUGUUACCCGCGAAUUCUUUGGCACCAAAUAUUGAAACCUACUGCCCAGAAGCAAGCAAACAAUUCUACUUUCCAAACAUCAAUUCGAGAUGAUAAAAUAUUCGAGCUCUACGAUAAUCAUUGGCUGAUUCGAUUGGGAGAAAUUUGAAAGUAAUUUUAUGCUUUCUUGCUUUUAUUUUAGAUUCCGUCGCAUAUUGAUUGAACAAAUGCAUCAAUAAUUCAAUUUUUUUGCUGCAGGUUCUAAUUUAAAUUCGGGGAAAGUGUUUUCGUGGAAUGCAACUCCGAAUUACGUUACGUUAGUGUUAUUGGGUUGCUGUUUUAUCUGUGUGAUGGUCCAGUCCAACUUACCUGACCCGGUUCAAGCCCAACAGUGAGAAGGAUGUGGAAUUGGUUGUUAAAUGAUAAAAGCGUCUUUUAUGAAUUGAAACACGUGGUGCAAUAUGGACCGUUGGAUCUGACUUGCGUGGAUCAAUUACACUUUUUAUUUUUCCCUUGGCAGCAAUUUCCUUUAUUCUUCGUGUUCUCUCUGUAAUUUGGAGAUUCUCUCUUGUGAUAUGUUUGUAGAUCUUUGGGUGAGAGUUAAUCUUUUGAACUCUUGUGUGAGUUCGUUUAUGUACUGAGAGAUUUAUGGUGCUGUGGUUGAAACUUUGUGUUCCGGUGUGUUCUUGACACUUUUGCUAUAUUUGGCCGUUUGAUUUAGUGGAUUCGAGCUUAUUCCUUCGUGGAUGCUCAACGGGGACUAGGCGAUCUAACCAAUCGCUGAACCUCGGGGCUUCAGUCGAAAAAUCGCUUUGUGUUCUUACUGCUUUAAGUUCAGAUUUACAUUUUUGAUCUUAGUCUUUUGCGAUUUUUCGUUGUUUCGAAAACGAUCCUUGUUCCUACACGUUAAACUUCAGGUCGGGACAGGAGGAUUUUCGGUGAAGCCCCUUGUCAGAAAGCCAUGGAUGAAGAGGCGAGUUAAGUUUCAAAACUUUCAUGCAAUUAUGGCUAGCUUAAUGAAUGACUCCUGUUAUAGCGUUAAUUGCGUGGGCUUUGCUUUGUUUUCCGUUUUCCCUUGAUAAAUUAUCAGAGCCAGUAUAUUGAGAUGUGCAACUAUUGAAGAAAUUGAAGUUGAGAAGUCUUUUGAUAGAGAAAGAUGCUGUAAGUAUCUGAAUUGUAUAUGAUGUGCAUUUUUUAUUGUCAUAAAUGUGCAUAAAUUGUAUAUGAUUUAGAGCUAAAACAUAGUAUCUGAAUUGUUGAAGUCUGUUUACGAUUUAGAGCUUUUACAUUGUAUCUGAAUUACUGAGGCAUAGCAUCAGUUGCAAUGCACAUUAUACCACUGAUAUCCUUUUCCUUAUGAUUUUGUUCCAUAUAAUGUUGAUUGCAGUUUAUAAUAAGGUAAGGGUUGUUAAGUCCUUUUCUCUUUGCUUGAUGAUAAAUUUCACCUGCAAAAAAUGAUUUGAAAAGUCCAAUAUUCAUUGUUGUGACCGCCUUUGAAUGGAAAUUGUGGGUGGUGAUGGCAGCAUUAAGCUUAUGUGGAUGGUAAGGAAAGAGUGGAGUUGGAUAGAAAAUUAAGGGAGAAAUGCGGAUAGUAAGGAAAGAGUGGAGUUGGAAAUCGGGGAUAUGAUGCUAAUUGAGACUCCAGAGUAGGCCUUGAUGGGAUCUUGUGUUCUGGUGAUGGCGAUGAAGGGUGAUGAUGUUUACUUAAUGAAUGUUGGGGAUAGUCGAGCAGCUUUAGCGAAAAAGACACAAAACGAUGGGAGGCCGAUGAAGGAUUCAAAUGAAAUACUUUAUGGCGAUGAAUUUGAGAAUGUACAUAAUUUGAGUUCUUGUCAAUGGAUCAUAGUACAUCUGUAAAGAGGUAACAAGCAUAUUUGUUCCCUCUAGUUUAAGGAUAAUUGUUUGACAUUUAUGUCCUUUGUUCAAUGUUCAUGUACUAAAAUGAACCUGCUUCAUCUAUCUAGCUAUUCUUUCUUAAAAACUUGUUUCAAAAUCAUAAUUUCAUGGGAAAUUAUCUUUGACUGUAUUACAGGAAAGCUCAAGCGAAAGAGUCUUUAGGACCGAGAUGAAGAUUUAUAUGCUUUAAUUUGAAUGCUGUUCUCCGGUCAUCAACAACAGCCCGUCAAUUUUUGUUUAAGCAUCAAUGUAUAACAAUGUUGCCAAUGUUGUCAAUUUUUGCGUCAGUGUAUAACAAUGUAUCAUCAUCAGCAGCACAUCAUUUAAGAAAUGGAAGCAUCUUGUCAAUUUUUUGCACCAAUUGUUGUUUAACUCAGGAUGAUGUUGUAUAACAAUGUAUAAGCAUGAAUAAAGGCAAUUGGUGAACUGGAAACAA
This 2424-nucleotide long non-coding RNA is filed under the name Olea europaea subsp. europaea. Lineage: Eukaryota; Viridiplantae; Streptophyta; Magnoliopsida; Lamiales; Oleaceae. The record is from RNAcentral.